AGAAAAGUGUGAGCAUAUAGUAGUUUUGGGGUGUAUUUACUUUUAACCAAUUUUUCCUGCUAAUGCCUGCAGUGAAGAAGAGAUGAAAAUAGCAGCAGCUGCUUAGAUAUGGCACUUCAUGUGGUGGGAUCUGCACAACUAAGUUACCAUCGGAGGUAUGGGUAAAUGUGUUUGGAUAUCUGUCAACGUAACAUUCAAUCAUGCUGCAAAUAAUUUUUUUAAAAAAACUGGUUGACCACUGGUCUCUUUGGAAAGGCAACACAGUAAUGCUUAAAAAGCUGUGUGCCUACACCUCGCAGUUCUGGACAACUAUUCGCAGUAGGAAAAUCAUCUCAAUUGUUGUACAGAGGGCAAGUUUGAAAUAAUGGAAACAGCUUGCCCUAUCCCUCUCUUGGCUCAAGACAAUAGCCAUGGAGCAUUGUUUCGACGUGAAAGCCUUUGAAAUUAUCAAGCAAUUUCAUAACUUGAAGAGGCUGGCUAUUCGCAGGUGUAGCUGUGGCCAGGGAGUGUCUGAUUCCAUUGUUGUGACUCAUUUUAUUAUGUGUGAGAUGCACUGUGCUCCAAGAGCAGAUAUUAUUAGUGCUGUCUCAAAGACCCCAUCUGGCAUCUCUUUUAUCACGAAGGCAAUCAUCUUAACCCAAGACAGACAUUCCACAUAAUGCUUAACCGCUUGCCACAUCUGAAGCGUCGGUCUUUGAAAAUGGGAACACAACAUGGCUCUCUCACAGAUUGUUAUUUUAAUCUUGACAAAACAAUAAAUGGCUCUCCAGUUCUGCAAUAAGGACAAACAGUCUUUAGAAGAUCCGCAGGUCAGGCAACCUUGCUUGACCAGUCUGGAGCUUCUUGACUACAUGGAGCCCACCUGAUAUGAAGAGACGAUAAAGUGCCUGCCCUCCCUGCACAGCCUAUCUGUGGACUACAGAGACCUGUGCCUGUGGAUUCCAGAAAGUGCCACCUGAAAACAUGGCUGAGGGAACUCCCUCAACUGGCAGUUCUCAACAUUGCAAAAGGCCAUCCCGUCAGUGCUUAUGCACGCUCCAUUCCCGACACAGUGAUCAGUUGGACUCUGCGGUGGGUGCCGAUGGAGCUGGACGACUUGAAUACUCUAGGGAAACAGGUUCCAGGCCUCUUGCAUCAGCACUUUGAUCCAUGCAGCUAUAACGGCGACACUACAAUGUACCAGAGAGGGAGUUAUUGAGCCUCCAACAGUUGAAGCAUUUGGAGCAUUUGGCGAUCCUGGAUGCACACAGACCUAGUCCUCACCUUCUGCAGCUGAUCCACACGCUGCAGGUCCUGACCAACUACAGAGCCCAAAUCAUCCAUUCUCUGGGCCCUAGAGAUCCCACAGCCUGCUACUGUACUCACUACUAAUCAGAGGAAGUGAACCUGUGACUGUGGACAACGUUUUCAACAGCAUGUUUUCAACAUGUGAUAUGAUACGAAACUGCUUACUCAUCAUUUGAGAUACAAAAUAUUUAUUCAGUCCAAAAAUGGUUUGUUUACAACGCCAACUUGGCUGAUGCAAAAUAAGGAAACGGAUGUAUAUUAAGUAAAUACCCCUGUAAAGGUCAAAGUGGUCAACUACAGGCUAUCUGUGUAUAGAACAUGGCAACAGACAGUUGAUACAACUGGAACAGCCUAGGAAUUUCAAAUGGUAUGUGAUAUUUGUAGUUUUAAUCUGAUGUGUGUGUGCUUGAUUGAGAUGAACAGAAUAAAUGAUUGUACACGACAACAAAAUCAACAUUUUUGAUGAGACAAUACAAUUGGCAAUACAAAUGGCUGAUACUCAGUUUUGAUUAAAUAAACAUAUUGUUGGGCUCCUGAAAGCUGUCUGGUUGAACACCACUGAUAUUAAAGAGACUUUCCUGAG
This is a long non-coding RNA of Coregonus clupeaformis (lake whitefish), 1870 nucleotides long. RefSeq lists it as uncharacterized. The record is from RefSeq and is a predicted model, not a curated record. The transcript is spliced from 4 exons. NCBI's taxonomy places the organism in Eukaryota, Metazoa, Chordata, Actinopteri, Salmoniformes, Salmonidae.